This 513-nucleotide ribosomal RNA is filed under the name uncultured bacterium. RNAcentral's name for it is "bacterial SSU rRNA". It matches the Rfam family "Bacterial small subunit ribosomal RNA", at positions 28 to 531 of the family's 1533-position model. The record is from RNAcentral.
GACGAACGCUGGCGGCGUGCCUAAUACAUGCAAGUCGAGCGGGGAUUAUGCUUGAUCGCUUCGGUGAGACGGCAUAUAUCCUAGCGGCGGACGGGUGAGUAACGCGUGGGUAAUCUACCUCGUAGUUCGGGAUAACAGGCCGAAAGGCUUGCUAAUACCGGAUGAGUUCAUGCUUAUGCAUAUAGGCAUGAAGAAAGGGCUAGCCCGCUAUGAGAUGAGCCCGCGUCCCAUUAGCUUGUUGGUGGGGUAACGGCCUACCAAGGCAACGAUGGGUAGCCGGCCUGAGAGGGUGUACGGCCACACUGGGACUGAGACACGGCCCAGACUCCUACGGGGGCGAGCAGUAGGGAAUUUUCGGGCAAUGGGCGAAAGCCUGACCGAGCGACGCCGCGUGAGGGCGAAGGCCUUCGGGUUGGUAAACCUACUGUCUGGGGGAGUGAGAACGGACGGUACCCCGGGAGGAACGCCCGGCUAACGUACGUGCCAGCAGCCGCGGUAAUCGACUACCGUAGA